ACUCAAAUGAAUUGACGGGGGCCCGCACAAGCAGUGGAGCAUGUGGUUCAAUUCGAAGCAACGCGAAGAACCUUACCUGGGCUUGAAACGCUCCGGCAAGGCGAUGAAAGUCGCCCCUCCAGCAAUGGAUCGGAGUACAGGUGCUGCAUGGCUGUCGUCAGCUCGUGCCGUGAGGUGUUGGGUUAAGUCCCGCAACGAGCGCAACCCUUGUUCUUAGUUGCCACCGCGUAAUGGCGAGCACUCUAAGAAGACUGCCUACGCAAGUAGUGAGGAAGGUGGGGAUGACGUCAAGUCCGCAUGGCCCUUACGCCCAGGGCCACACACGUGCUACAAUGGCGGCUACAAAGAGCUGCUAAACCGCAAGGUCAUGCCAAUCUCUAAAAAGCCGUCUCAGUUCGGAUCGGAGUCUGAAACUCGACUCCGUGAAGCUGGAAUUGCUAGUAAUCGCGGAUCAGCACGCCGCGGUGAAUACGUUCCCGGGCCUUGUACACACCGCCCGU
This 500-nucleotide ribosomal RNA is filed under the name uncultured bacterium. Its description in RNAcentral is "partial 16S ribosomal RNA". It matches the Rfam family "Bacterial small subunit ribosomal RNA", at positions 899 to 1397 of the family's 1533-position model. The record is from RNAcentral.